UACGAAGGGGGCGAGCGUUGUUCGGAUUUACUGGGCGUAAAGGGCGCGUAGGCGGUGCCCCAAGUCGAGUGUGAAAGCCCCGGGCUCAACCUGGGAAUGGCGCUUGAGACUGGGGCACUGGAGUUCGGGAGAGGAGCGUGGAAUUCCCAGUGUAGAGGUGAAAUUCGUAGAUAUUGGGAAGAACACCGGUGGCGAAGGCGGCGCUCUGGACCGAGACUGACGCUGAGGCGCGAAAGCGUGGGGAGCAAACAGG
RNAcentral lists this ribosomal RNA (253 nucleotides) under uncultured bacterium. Its description in RNAcentral is "partial 16S ribosomal RNA". It matches the Rfam family "Bacterial small subunit ribosomal RNA", at positions 524 to 776 of the family's 1533-position model. The record is from RNAcentral.